Stegostoma tigrinum is the source of this 4893-nucleotide RNA transcript. It is a transcript of the gene named ubiquitin conjugating enzyme E2 Wb, with no coding region annotated. NCBI's taxonomy places the organism in Eukaryota, Metazoa, Chordata, Chondrichthyes, Orectolobiformes, Stegostomatidae. The transcript has 6 exons. The record is from RefSeq and is a predicted model, not a curated record.
GGGGCGGGGGGAAAAGGGGGGGUUUCCAUCAUGGCGUCAAUGCAGAAAAGGUUACAGAAGGAGCUAAUGGCUUUGCAAAAUGACCCACCCCCAGGAAUGACUUUAAAUGAGAAGAGUGUACAAAAUUCAAUAACGCAAUGGAUUGUAGACAUGGAAGGAGCGCCAGGCACACUCUAUGAAGGAGAGAAAUUUCAGCUUCUGUUCAAAUUCAGUGGUCGUUACCCUUUUGAUUCACCUCAGGUUAUUUUCACUGGUGAUAAUAUUCCAGUUCAUCCUCACGUUUACAGCAAUGGACAUAUUUGCCUCUCCAUUUUGACAGAAGACUGGUCUCCAGCUCUCUCUGUGCAGUCAGUCUGUCUUAGCAUCAUCAGCAUGCUUUCCAGUUGCAAAGAAAAGGUAAUCCAAGAGGCGGCCUCCUGAUAAUUCAUUUUAUGUAAGGACAUGUAAUAAAAAUCCAAAGAAAACAAAAUGGUGGUAUCAUGAUGAUACAUGUUGAUGUUCAGAUUCUUGGCCCUGGUAGAGGAGAAAGUACUGCUGAGUCCAAAAGCACUUUGAUCGGUCAAUUUUUGAACUUUAACACAGACUUGCCUGCAGGCACUGGAGACUACUUCCUUUACUGCAUUUCUACUAGUGUAUAUCAGGGCAUAUGCUGAUAGCUGGUUAAGUUCCUGCAACUGACCCUAUUUCAUUUAUUAAGCGGUAUUAAUGCAGCACUUAGGAAGAAAUCUUGUAAUUUCAACAAUAAAUCAUCUCUGUUGUUUAGUUUACUGUGAGGACAUACCUUGUGAGAAGGUUUGAAACCCUCCUGUGUUGUGCAAUAAAUGGUUAUUGGCGCAUGCUUGGAGACUUAAAACAAAAGGAAAUCUGUGCAAUAAAAACAAAGGGAUCCAUUUUUAAUUGACAUUUGCAACUGUAUUAUUAUACUAAAUUUAAUGCAUUGCUGUCACAUAGCCAGGAAUGUAAAAACUUGUGGCAUAUUUUGCUGCAGCAACAAAUUUAAUUCGUUCAAUGAAGCAUUCCAAAACUUAAAAUUUUUCAAUACAGUUGUCUCAUUAAAAAAAUAUAUUUAAUUUAUUUUACUUGAGCCAAAUUACCUUUGGAAAAAUACAUUCUUCAUGGGCAUUUGUCAGGGUCAUUGACCAGCCUUCAGUGUGGGCCCUCGUGCUCCCAUUUCCCCAAAAAGACAGUUUUAAACUGGAACACAACUAUAAUGUAUUGCUUUGCAUUCAUUUUGUUUCUCCAAUGUCACAUUUUUUGUUAUCAUACUUGAAGCUUCUGAUAUGAAAUAUAUUUUGAAUGAAAAGCUGUUUUGUUAUAAUACUGUCUUCUCUAAAUUAUUUCCUAUGUAUCUGACACCUUGUCUUUAAUUCUUUGCUAUAAAAAUUGCAAUCCAUCUUGAAGAAUACAAUUAAUGUUUUGACAUAUUACUUAAAGAUAUAUGUUAACAUAUAUGUUGCUGUGUUGCAGUUCAUUAGCUUCUCAUUAUGAAAAAGAUAUAACUAAUCUUUGUUGAACCAUUAUUUAUGAAUGAAAUUAAAUGCUGUAGGUUGGAAUUUGAAAGUAAUUGUAAAAAUGAGACUUGAAUACUCUAUGCCACUAUUGCAUAUGUUCUUAAUAACAAAAUUAGGGCUGAAAGCUAGGUGGAAAAUGAUUUCAGGAUGCAACUGUUGAAACCUCUAAAGAUGAUACCUGAGAUAAACCAGAGUGAUGAUUCCCCCCGCCCCCAACCCACCCCCCCAAAAGUACUGCUGAUCUGUGUAAGAAAUUUAACCUUUUGUGUACUGAGUUGCCUUUGUAGCAUUUACAAAUUGACAUUUGUUAACACUGGCAACACGUUUUUUUGUAAACUUCUAAUAUAAAAUUUAGAGAAAUUGUAAACCAUAUUUUCAUUCAUGGUAGCCUGCUGAUAAAUAAGACCAAUAUGGUCAGAUCAUUAUUAUUUUCAGUAAUGUAACUGUUCAACUGCAGGGUUAAAUAAUUAGUUGUAUUGUCCCUUAUAAAACAUGCAGAAUUGUGUUUUUUAUGUAAGUAUAUUAAAGAAAAACAUGUUUAGCUUUCCAUUUUAUUUUAGUUUUAUUGAUUGAUAGCGUUCAUUGACUUCCCUAGUGAGUUAUUCACUAACAAUUUUCAUAAACAAGAUUUAGUUGAUUAAUCAAAGCAUAGCCAGCAACACUUCUGAAUUAAUUGAUUUUGGACAAACUCUGUAAAUACUGUCCUUCUGUACUUCAGACUGAAGUGCCUAUAUUGCCUGGUGUUGGCAAUGUUAUGGUCACGUUAUAUUAGUAAGACUCAUGACUAACACUUCAGGUUAAAUUACUUGCAAAUCCAUCUACUGGUUGAGAGUUUUCUAAAUUAGGAUUGCUUCAUCAUAGAUUUACAAAACUGGGAUUAAAGUUGAGGGAAUUUUAAAAUCUCAAUAAAUGUCCACUUUUUCAGAUGGCAUUUGUGUGAAACCACAAUUUAUCUGUUUAUUAAGCCAAAACAUUGUUUACCCACCUGUCUUUGGACAUGGGCUGUGCAGCCUGCAAUAUUUUGGGACAAAUUAUCUCAAAUUCUCAAUAUCUAGGAUAUAAUAUCAAAGCAUUGUCCACGCAUUUAAGUGUAUAAAUUUGAAAUCUCUGCAGGACCAGUGUUAAGUUUUAACUGGACUCAGCUUAUCUUUUUUAAAACAAUACGCCAGCUAAUUGACUUGAUGUAGCCUGAAUAUAGUCUAUAUUUGUACAGAUCUUGCACUUGCAAACAUUUUAGCGAAAUGCUGCAUUUACCAUUUGUUAAUAUCAUUGGAGACAUAAAUAAUCUCAUGGUUUGCGGUGUUAAUUUGGCACACUGAUGGGUCAAAUUUGUAUACUGUUUAACUGUACCAUAUUUUGAGUGUUAUACUGUGGAGGUAAAAUAUAUGGCAAUGAAUUGGCUGAAGAAAAAAUAAAUCUUAGUUUUAUACAAUAGAGCACUUAAAUAAUAACAUUUAUUUCUGAAUAGCAACAUAGUAUUCUACAAAGGAUUUUCUAAGCAUUGUUUUCGCUUCUGAACACACUUCUGACAACCUUUUAGUGAAUUUGUCAUUAAAUGGGGAUUUCUUAGUAUGCUCUGAACAGACCAUAUGUAGAAUAUUCAUGCCGUUUUAUACAAACCUGGUAGAUUUUCAGAAAUAUUUUUUCAUCCUAUCCAGUUCUUCCUGGCCUAGUAUUAAAGAAUUUAAUAGACUGUUUAUUGCCAAGAAAGGUAUCUACUGAAAAUUUGUUUAACUUUUUAAAAUUGGAUUAGUGCUUGAGUUAUAUAAAUUUAUAAUAUGUUCUGAACAGUGCCAGUCUAAGUUCCCCAAUGCUAAAAAGCUUGUGAAAAUCUGAAUAAUAUUCUACCUUAAUCCUUGAAUCUGGCUAUGGAAAUUCUAAUUGGCUCAGUUUUUAGCUGCAAUGUUAUAUUAAAAUUUGUGUUAAUGUUGCUUAGUUUUGCUUGGAUGUGAGGAAAACUGGAAAGUGUGAGAUUGUUGCCGAUAUAGGCAUUUUGUUAAAAGAAAAUGGCCUGCCUGACUUGGGGAUUCCUAGCUGCAUCCUUGUUACCACUGGCCUUGAUUUUAUUUUCCGUGGUUUGGGUUCUUUGUUUCCUCCAUUAUCUAAAUCCUCAGCAGCUAAGCACACAGGUGACUCCAUUGUCCUAUACCUUAAAAAUCAUUUAAGACUCAAAGUUCGAGCAAUAUGCUCACUAAACUGAGAUGGCUUGAAAUUAGUGUCUUUAGGUUAGUGAGAGGAUUCGUAUUCCUGUUGUGUUAUUCAGUUAGUCUCGAUAGAGAGAUGUGAGAGACAUUGCUAAGAUCAUAUUUGACUCAGCUGUGUUUUGAAGGUGAGUAGCCCACCAGGUACAUUCAGAAUUGCUUUUGUUGAAGUAGAACAUUGUUUAUGCCUAAGGACCAUUUUAGAGGAGUUAUUAGCUUCAGAAGAGAAGAAUGUUGGAAGUCCCUCGGACACCAAAUAAUCUUGAUCCAGAGAAAUCCUUCCAUAUGGAUGGUAACUACAACCUACACUACUGAAACGUUUUCCAUUAAGUGAUUUCCACAAAAUUUUAAAAAUGUUGUUUGUUUAGUGUUCCGUGUGAGAGUUCAAAUAGUGUUAAAACUUUUCAUGCAAAAUAGCUGCCCAGACAUACCUCAGUAUUCAGUUCCAAAGGACAUUCUGAUCUCCCACAAAAUCACUGUAAUCAGCAGUAGGAUGAAAAUCCAUUAAAUUUUUUACAUUUAAAUAUUUGAUGUAACUGUUGGUAAAUGCAGUGCCCAGUGCAAAACUUAGCCAUGCGGGUAGGAAGUUACCAGAUUCUAUCCCACAAUUUUAAACUGGCCCAUCUCACCUGAGAUUGCAGGAGAGAUUAAACAAUGACAUUGUAGUGCUGAAGGGUUGAGGGGGGGAGGAAUAAUGAGAGUCGUCCCAGAUCAGCUGCUCCUGCUGGAAACAAAAUGUGGAUUUGGAUGAAGCUUGCUUGAAAAGGCCUCAAGUCGGGAGCUAUAGACCUGGAAGCCACAGGACAGGAGUGAAUCUGGGUUGAGAAGGCACUACUCUCAAAUUUAUUACUACAUUCUAUUAUUCCUGCAUAUUGCAUAUUCCUUGAUCUUCUGAUUUCAGUUUAAUUUUCAUUCAUUCACCUUUUAUGCUGUCAUUUCUGUAAAUGUUACUUGCAGUUUUUACUCAGUGGAAGUAAGAAAUGUGAUGCAUGGUCAUGAGAAUCUCUUCUGUGAAUAUGUUAUUCAAUGAAUAAUCACCUGUGUAUUUUAUAACUUACUGGUCACUUUCACCACCAGUCUGGGACAGCUUUCAUAAUCCUAUCAAAGUUCUGUUCCCUUUAAAAAAAUGAUUUAUUUCUAAUGCAAGGACAAUGACAUGCAACAUGGUUGUUUUGAAAUAA